This 517-nucleotide ribosomal RNA is filed under the name uncultured bacterium. RNAcentral's name for it is "bacterial SSU rRNA". It matches the Rfam family "Bacterial small subunit ribosomal RNA", at positions 8 to 518 of the family's 1533-position model. The record is from RNAcentral.
AGAGUUUGAUCAUGGCUCAGGAUGAACGCUAGCUACAGGCUUAACACAUGCAAGUCGAGGGGCAGCAUUGGAGUAGCAAUACUCAGAUGGCGACCGGCGCACGGGUGAGUAACACGUAUCCAACCUGCCGCUUACUCGGGGAUAGCCUUUCGAAAGAAAGAUUAAUACCCGAUGGUAUAAAGAGUUCGCAUGUUCUCUUUAUUAAAGAAUUUCGGUAAGCGAUGGGGAUGCGUUCCAUUAGAUAGUUGGCGGGGUAACGGCCCACCAAGUCUACGAUGGAUAGGGGUUCUGAGAGGAAGGUCCCCCACAUUGGAACUGAGACACGGUCCAAACUCCUACGGGAGGCAGCAGUGAGGAAUAUUGGUCAAUGGACGAGAGUCUGAACCAGCCAAGUAGCGUGAAGGAUGACUGCCCUAUGGGUUGUAAACUUCUUUUAUAAGGGAAUAAAGUGAGGGACGUGUCCCUUUUUGUAUGUACCUUAUGAAUAAGGAUCGGCUAACUCCGUGCCAGCAGCAGC